This is a non-coding RNA of Salmo salar (Atlantic salmon), 54 nucleotides long. Lineage: Eukaryota; Metazoa; Chordata; Actinopteri; Salmoniformes; Salmonidae. The record is from Rfam.
UGCAUUCACUACUGUAAGUCGCUCUGGAUAAGAGCGUCUGCUAAAUACACUAAA